RNAcentral lists this ribosomal RNA (407 nucleotides) under uncultured microorganism. Its description in RNAcentral is "bacterial SSU rRNA". It matches the Rfam family "Archaeal small subunit ribosomal RNA", at positions 330 to 739 of the family's 1478-position model. The record is from RNAcentral.
GCGCACCAGGCGAGAAACCUCCGCAAUGCUCGAAAGAGCGACGGGGGACUCCAAGUGCCUACGCUCAGCGUAGGCUGUUCCCGAGCCUAAAAGCUCGGGGAGUAAGGGCUGGGUAAGACGGGUGCCAGCCGCCGCGGUAAUACCUGCAGCUCAAGUGGUGGCCGCUAUUAUUGGGCCUAAAACGUCCGUAGCCGGUCUAGUAAAUGCCUGGGUAAAUCGUGAGGCUUAACCUUACGAAUUCCGGGUAGACUGCUAGACUUGAGACCGGGGAGAGGCUAGAGGUACUCCUGGGGUAGAGGUGAAAUUCUGUAAUCCUAGGGGGACCACCAGUGGCGAAGGCGUCUAGCUAGAACGGGUCUGACGGUGAGGGGACGAAGCCCUGGGGCGCAAACCGGAUUAGAUACCCG